This 308-nucleotide ribosomal RNA is filed under the name uncultured bacterium. RNAcentral's name for it is "bacterial SSU rRNA". It matches the Rfam family "Bacterial small subunit ribosomal RNA", at positions 28 to 334 of the family's 1533-position model. The record is from RNAcentral.
GACGAACGCUGGCGGCGUGCCUAAUACAUGCAAGUAGAACGCUGACUACUUUAGCUUGCUAGAGUAGAAGGAGUUGCGAACGGGUGAGUAAUGUCUGGGAAACUGCCUGAUGGAGGGGGAUAACUACUGGAAACGGUAGCUAAUACCGCAUAACGUCGCAAGACCAAAGAGGGGGACCUUCGGGCCUCUUGCCAUCGGAUGUGCCCAGAUGGGAUUAGCUAGUAGGUGGGGUAACGGCUCACCUAGGCGACGAUCCCUAGCUGGUCUGAGAGGAUGACCAGCCACACUGGAACUGAGACACGGUCCAG